This 20429-nucleotide long non-coding RNA is filed under the name Gallus gallus (chicken). The record is from RNAcentral. Lineage: Eukaryota; Metazoa; Chordata; Aves; Galliformes; Phasianidae.
CUAAUCUGUACCCUUUUUCAGUGCAACAGGAGAAGCUGAUUGUGAUACACAGCCAAAGACCUAAUUCAAACUCCGUUAUGCGCUGCUUAUGAUUUUAACCCUUCAGGCUGAAAUUCUCCAUGCCUGAUCUGGGUCUCGGGCUUGCUGUCUUCUGGGGAAAGCUGCAGGUGGGGGUGAGUCAGCCAUUUCCCAGACGGCAACGUGGACGGAAUGCAUUGUUUUGUCAGUGUUAGGCAACAAAACAGCCUUUCCCAGCCCUGUGAUUGAAAAAUUCGAAGUCUCUGGGGUCACAAAUGAGCCUUAACGACGCUCCCUGGGGUGGGGAGUGGAGGGUCUUUCCGGUCUGCCCCUGUGACCCGGAGCCGCGGCUUCAGCUCUGCCGCCUCAUUUCUCUCCCGUUCUGCCUGGAGGUUUGUCCUGCUGGCAGGAGGUCGGCUGCACGGAGCUGCCUCUCCGGUUGUGUCCUCAGGGCCUGGCUCGUCCCUUAACGCGUCUGAGGACGCCGAGGGAGCCCCUCACCCUUCUUCUCGUGCUGCUCAGAAGAAACUACAGGCAAGAAGACUCCAGUAAAGACAAGGCACAUAGUCACAAAUAAAGGAAGACUUCAACAGUAACAGCAAAAUUAAAGUUCUGUGCCCUCAUGGUGGCUCCUUUUUGGCUGGUGUCCUCACUAACAAAUCAGACUUCUCUUGGCUGUAAAAGCUCCUGGGGGCUUGCAUGAACACUUGGCUGUUUUGGAGGGAAGUGUUACUUCGUUAUGUAGAAGAUGACAACAUCGCUUCAGAUCUGGAUGUAGACGGCCUUGGAGUUGUUGACAGUUGAAUCAAAAGACUAUCUGGCCUGGAGAAGCUGGAGGCUUGGUUUCCAGAAAGAAGAGUUGGUGCUGAGAGGUGGGUUCCAGGGAGAAAAUGAGGCCCAAAGAGAACAUGAAGAUCCUGACUGAAGGACAGGUCUGGGAAGUGAGGGAAGAUUCUGGAGGUGAGGUAAAUGCAUGGAGACCAAUGACAGGAGAUGCCCAGCACCAAAUAAUCGUGCCUGAGACCAGAAACUGCAAGCAGAAUCGUAGCAGAAUCCAGCAGGAGUUUCUGCCCAACCUGCUCUAGCCAACGACCUGCCUGCAGGGAAAUCAAGACCUUGGGAACAUCAUGGGGAAGCUGUAACAGCCGUAGAGAAUAAGCAUAGAAAAAAACAAACCCUGCUGAAGUUUUUGCAGAGGUGAUAUUCUUUGUUUUCCCAAGGAUUCUGGAUGAACCUUAAGGCGAGCUAUGAGAUGGAGAAGGAAGCAGAGAGGGGGAAGUGCUGCUGUUAAUUUGGCAUUCAUCUUAAGGAGCUGAAUGGCAGCCAGAAGUAGUGCAGAUGGCAUCUCAAUUCCCUCUUCUUUUGAAGAAAAUGUAUUUUUAAUACAGUAACUUUUUGUUUCCAUUAAGACAUUUUUAGCUGUGGAAUAAGGACAGUUAAAGGCAGUAGUUAAACCACCAGCUUUUAGAUGACAUUUCUGAAAGCAGUUUAUUUCCCAGAGUGAUAGAUGUAUGAAACAUAUGGUUUCUUCAAAGCCACAACCAAGGAGCUGGAUAGUAAGGAUGCAGGGGGUUAGUUGGCAGACACCCUAGGAAGGAAGCGAAAGGACACAGAACUGGUGAUAGUGUUGCUUUUGCAUAUGGGUAUGGUGGUGACAGGAGGAUUUGUCUGUAUUAAAUUGUAUUUUACACUGUUCUCAUCAAAUCCAAACUCUAAGCUUGUCCAGAUAAACUGCGUUCCAGACACCUGCUCAGCUUUCUGACACCUGAUUAAAUGCAUAUCUGACUGCCAUCAGGACUGCAAAUCAGCAUGAGGUGAAAGCAUACCAUGCUUUAGGUGUGGUAUAUUAUAAACUAUUGACUCUUUCAGUAAGGGAUCUUUCGGAGAGUAAUUUUUUCAUGAACCUAUUUGUGAAACGUUCUUGUAGGUGAACUCCAAAGCAAAGAUAAAAUUUGAACUAAAAUACACAGACCUAACAAGCUGCCAUGUGCAUUUGCCCAUCAAUAAGGUAAUGCUCAUAUUUUGGUAAUUCAUUGUAUCUCUACUGUGAUCUUCAGACUUCCUAAUAUACUGAAAACAUUCCCAUAGGGCAUGAUUGGCACUGCCAUAGUACAACUCAUGAUUGAUAGCAGUAUGAAUCAGGAAGUGCCACCUGAAAGACUUUAUAAGGGAAGCUAUUUCUUGAAAUCAAUAGUUAAUGUUUUGUUGUUAUUUAUUAGUGUAUUUCAACAACUAAAGAAUCUAGACCUUGAUUUUGGCAGAAAAGCAUUAAGUUGAUAUUAGAACCAUUGCUUCUGCUUCCUCUUGAGAGACAAAAUUCUGAGAUUUCACCAUUAAAUAAGUGAAAGAAUGACUAAAAGGACAUGACAACUGAAAAGGUUAGUUAUUCAAACAUUUUAUUCCCCAAACUAUUAAAUAAAUAACUAGAUAAAUAAAGGAAAGUAUUUGAUAAUGGAGAAGGUUUAUUACUCAAACAUCUUUCCAGAUCUAUCUGUGACCUCUAAAAUUAGGAACCUAUAACUGGUGCUGCUACCUGCAGUGGGUCCUACCCUGGCCUGCUGGCCUAUCCCUUGUACGUGCCUGGCUGCUGCAGGUGCCACUGGGGCAGGACGGGGCUGCCCAUCAGGGGGCACCAGCAUGGCUGCUGCCAGCAUGGCUGCUGCAAGAGAUAAGGUGAGGAGGGCCCGAGGAGCUGCUGCUCUGCUGCCUGUGGGUGCCGGGGAAGCUCCUGCUGUGCAGGGCUGGUUAUAAACCUGGGUCCCGUGUGAGGUGGAGGAGGAGAAGUGGCAGCCGAGGUCUGGCUGCUGCUUGGUGGCAGCAGGGAAGGGUCCAGAGGCUGGCAUGUUUCCCUCUGUGCUGCUGCAGUAGGGACUGGCAGGGCUGAAGCAGCACUGCUUUGGGUCGUGGCUUUCUGAGGGUGCUUGAGUGGUGGGGGCCCCACAGUUGCUGCUGUCUCUGUGCCUUCUUCCUUUGGCACUGCCAGCAGGCUCCUACCUUGCCCAACAGCUGCUCCCUGCAUGGGCUGGGCACCUGGUCUGCUCCUCAGGUGGCUCUCAUUUAGGUCUCCCUGCAGGGCAGAGGCAGUCACCUCUCAUCUCCUUAGGGCAACUCCUUGUUGGCAGUGUUCAGGCAGCUGUGGAUCAUCGCUCUUGAAACAUGGGUGAGAGUAGAAGAGUGACUGAAAAAUGCAAAGGAGGAGAGUUAGUUGCUGUCUGUUUGGAACUGAAAGACAGCAAAAUACAGGAAGUAAGACUUAAUAGCUGAAGGCAAAUAUGGGUAGUAAAAAGGUCUAUUGGUCAGAUUAAUCCCAGAGCUUAGGUUAAGUCAAACAAGAUAUGUUGCAAAUAUAUUGUAAUAAAUAGACUCAUCAUAUCCUGAUUUAUCUUUCUUUUCCGUGGGUUCAAAUUGGGAUAUAACUCAAAUCUAUUUUAUCUAUAUUUCUACUAUUCAGCAAUGCAACCUCUAAAAUACCCAGAAGCAGUCAGAGAAAGAUACAAAGAUCAGAACACUGACUGACGUCCUCCUCUCAUUACCAAAGCUUAUUUUCUUGGAACUUUCAUCCUAUCCACUAGAAUCUUGUGAGAGUUGGUUUAUGUGUGAAGCAACUGAUGUACCUUCCUGUGAGCAGCAAAUGCUUCUUCCUCUGCCAGAAACUCAGGAAUGGACAGAGAGAUCUUGUGCAGUCACAGUGUAUUUUGGUGAAUCUUUACAGAUUAAGUUUGUGCAUGAAGAUUUUCAUGUUUUCAGUCUGAAAAACUCUCACAGGUCCUUUCCUUCCCAGUACUUGGAGCUUAAACAUGUCUUAAUCAAUGACAACGCAGUUUCCACUGUGAUCCCACCAAAUCAUCUUAAAUUGGUCACUUUCAAUUGAUCGCCAGUGUUUCUGUGAAAAGCUGAGGGCUGGGAUUCUGGCUUUGCUCUCCUCAGAAGAAAUGAGAGGGAAACAUUUGGUUUCCUCUUCAUCAGAAAAAGUUUGUGAAUCCUUUUCUUUCUUUAUCCAUGCUAGAGCAGCAUCCCACAUUGUUCCCUGUUUACCCUGUCCUGGAGGAUAAGGAGAAGGAGAGUCUGAGGACUCAGCCAGUUUCUCUGGCUCAGAAGACGUUUCUGAUUCAGGUGGCUCAAUUUUAAUUUUUCUUGUCUCAGUUUGACCAAAGCUUUCAAGUAGAAGCAUUUCUGUGGUGAGCCAGUCUUCAUCCUGCCAGUCAGCAAGCGAAGUCUAACAGAACUGUCGGGGGGUUCCACUGGGAGAUGGUCAAACAUCACUGUGACGCCCAUGUGUCAUCACAGUGACAUCGCUGUGUGGCACCCAGGGCUUGGCUGGCUGGAGCAGCCAGAGCAGAUGUCACUGACCAGCACUUGUUGGUCCUGCACGGAGCCACAGGUGUUUAAAUGUGAGUAGAGAAGCAAAGAGAGCUGUAUUUAAAGGGGUUCACCUGUCACCUAGACCUUGCUUCCCCUUCCCUGUGUGGUCCCUGAAUAGCUCCCUUCUUGCAUUCUUGGUGUCAUCCCUCUGGUUCUCCAUAUGGGGCUGAGGGGGAAUCAGUUUCCCAAGCAGCAUUUACAAAAGAAAAUAGCAAUCUCUUCCCAGUUUGUAACCAAUUCUUGAAAAUGCUCCAUGGUUUCAGUAGCAUGGCUUCUGCAGGGCCCUAGCUAUGUGUCCAGGUGGUGCUCUACAAUGUCAGCAGUCUCUCAGAGGCUGCUCUGUUGGCCCAACUAGGAGAAGACAGUAAGUACGUUUUGCUGAUAGUAUAAACAAUCCCUCUUUGGUUCCUAUGCUUUUAUUUGAUAUUUUAUGAAUUUAGAAAGCAAGCUAAUGGAAUUGGUGAUGUUCUGUAAGCCUUUCAAAUCACACUCUACAGGAGCAAGGGCUUCAUCUGUCAAGGAAAGAUUUGGACUAGAGGUGGUGUCUGUAUGCAGGGCUUGAGUGUAUGCUAAGUCUGAGGACACCAGUAAAUCAGAGGAGCUGUUGACUCCCUCAAGGGCAGAGAGGCCUUGCAGGGAGAUCUCGACAUAUGUGAGUGCUGGACAGUCACCAAGUGCAUGAAGUUGAACAAGAGCAAGUGCCAAAUUCUGCCCCCGAGUGGGGCAGCUCAGGAUGUAUGUACAAACUAGGGGAGCUGCCACACAGAAAAGGUUCUGGGGGUUCUCGCUGUCGGCAAGUUGAAUCUGAAUCAGCAUUGUGCCGUGACAGCCCAAAGGGCCAACUGUACCUGGGCAUGGUGCAUCAGGUCCAUGCUGACAGCCAGGCAAGGGAAGGGGCUGUCCCACUGUGCUUUGUGCUGUACAGCCUCACCUCCAGCACUGGGUGCUGGUUUGGGCAGCGCAAUCUAAGAAGGACAUAAAAAUGUUCGAGAACUUCCAAAGGAUGGCUGUGAAGAUGCGGAAUGGUCUAGAAGUCAAGGUGCAUGUGGAACAGUUGUGGUCCCUUGGUUUGCUCAGCCCAGAGCAGAGGAGCUGAGGGGAGGCCUCAUGGCAGCUGCAGCUCCUCAUAGUGAGCAGAGGGGCGGCACUGAGCUCUGCUCUGUGUGACAGCGACAGGGCCUGAGGGAACAGCAUGGAGCUGUGUCAGAGGAGGGUCAAGUGGGGGGUUUGGGGAAGGUUCAGAGGGCAGUGGGCAUGAAACAGGCUUCCCAUGGCAGUGGUCACGGCCCCAUGUUGCUGGAGUUCCCAGGAGCAUUUGUAUAGUGCUCUCAAACACAGGGUUUGGGUGGUGCUUUGUGGAGGCAGGAGUUGGACUCUGAUCUUUGUGGGUCCAUUCUAACUCAGGAUAUUCAAUGAAUCUUAAUUGUGGUUGCAGCUUGCAAGUAGCAGCCUCCUGCUUGAGAGUUGUGGAGUUUGGUUUCAGACUUUCACCUUUGCACAUGCACUCAGCUACCCAUUGUCAGUGAUCAUAAUUUCAGCAGCUUUUUCAGUGACUGCAGGUGUCUGGCUUUUCCCUGCACACCAUACAAGAGCAGACACCACAAAGGACAGAACCUCACAUUUGAAGGCACAGUUACUUCUUUCUUAUUAAUUCAUUUAGUAUUUUGCAUAGGGAGGAAGACGUGUUUGAGGUGGAGGUAGAGUGCUAUUAAGUGAUGUAUUAUUCUUGCUGAGGUAGUCUGAGUCUGUGUUGAAGAGGAAAUGUAGUUAUAAUGUAUUUGUUUUAUGAAGCUAGUUUUCAGCAUAGUGUUUUCCAAACUAUAGGUUGCAAGGCUAACACAAAGAAAAACGCUCACGUUAGUGUAUAACAUACAAACCUGACUAGCUGAGAUUUCAGCUUCUGUCUUCUUUUGCAAUGGUAGCAAUAGCUAAUACUCUCUUUUGAAUGCCUUAAAUCUCUUAUCCCUUUUGAAUAAAAAUUCACAAUGUGGUUUUUUUUGCUAAUUAAUUUGGAGAUAGGGUUGGGAAAAUAUUUUCAUGUGGCUGGGGAGAGCUACUGGUGUCUGCCACUGCUAAGGUGGGAGGCUUUUUCUUUCAUUCUUUUUAGGAAUGGGCUUAAGGCAGUUCAGAAGGGAGAGCGAAGCUCUGAAUUCUCUGAUGGAGCCUUGUUUUGCAGCCAGAUUGUUAUGACAGAAAAUGCCCUGCUCCAGCUCUCAUGUAGCUUUGUCUGGGCUUUGUGAUCAGCAUCAUCCCAAAGAAGCAAAACUGUUUAGGAAAUUUAUAGAUAGCAAUUUGGUCUCCAGUGUAGCAGAGGCUCAUCUGUUAAUUGCUUUGAAGAUUAAAGUCAAGACCUUGAACUGGCAUCUGAAACUGACUUUAGAGAUAAGCCCUAGCCGUGAACUUCUGUCAUCUCCUUUGCAAAGCCUUUGGUAUUUAGAGGAUAAUAGAUAAGCAGGAUAUCCAGGACAGCAUCUAACUGAUGUAAAGGAUUUGUUUUAUGGGAACCUAAAUUGUUUCAGGGCUAAAACCAGUCCUCUCUACGUCUGUUAUCCAGAGGUCUUUCCAGAGAAGAUGUAAACUAAGAAAGAGUGAAAGUAAGGCUAAGUAGACACACAGAAGUGACAGCAAGUCAAAUAUUGAUAAUAUCUGCCAUGUAUAUUGAUAAUAUCUGCCAUAAUGGACACUUUAGGUUGCUAAUUGAAUUUAUAUGUUCUUUAAAUUUAAGAUGAAUAAAAAGAAACAUUCCUCAAUAUGGUGUUGUUUUCUUUUUUUUGUCCUUUCCUUUUUGUUUUGUUUUUGAUGGAAGAAUGCUUUUUCUUUUUUGGUCUUCUGAUGCUCCAGUACCUUUCUUUCUCUUCUUCCUCACCACACAAACCCAACUUGGAUUAAAUUGCCAUUUUUUUGCUUAAUGAAGUGCAGCAUCGUAUUCUGAGGUUGUUUAAACAUUUUGUCAUAACUUUCUUUUUUCAAGGCAGUUUUCAUUGAGGGAUGUUUCUCUCUUUCUGUGUUAAGAAUGUUGUAGGAAAAUGCUUCUGGCAAGUUAAACAAUUUGUUCUGAGAUGCUUAGAUGUAACUGAAUUCCCUGGUAGUUUUAGUUCCAUCACUCAAUGUCAUUUUUCAUCAAAAGCAUCUCCAUAAGUCAAGUAUGAUACAAGCAAAUAGAGAUGUUUUCUCAGAGAUUACUCUGAGAUGAUCUUGAAUACAAUGUUUGAGAGCUCUCUGUUGAUGGCAUUUGUUUUUUUGGUGUUUGGGAGCAGUGCCUGAAGAAUAGCUGUUGCACGUGGCCAACUACAAGGACAAAACCACAGACGCUGCACGCACUGCAGAGCUUGUAGCACACUGCUAAAUGGAAAAAGCUUGUGAUGUGUAACCAGUAUGGUAACAGCAAUGCUGCUGCUGCUAAGAUUUCUUUUUCUCAGGGAGAUUAAAAAUAGCAGAUUUAAUUAGGAGAGGAUAAACAUCAGAGGGAAAGGAACAUAUGCCAUUGAACUUGAAGGAUGGGGAGCGGAGAAUUUAUCUGUAAUUGGUGGAAUCUAAAAUGGGAGUGAAUUGAAGGUGCUACAUGGCAGGUAACAGGAGGCAGUCUGAACAAACCACUGUCAGUGAGAAGUCUGAAAAUACAAAGAGCUCUUGUAUGUUGUUAAACCAAAGAAAAGACCUGCUGUACUUUGGUUUCUUCAGUUUCUAUCUGGUUUCUCGCUUUAUUUUCUGACUUUAGAUUGUCCUCAUUGAAGUUAUUCUUUCUUGUUAACAUAGUUGAGGUUGUUUAGUGAUACAGUUUACCUGCUGUUAUGGGCUUGGGUAAUACAGGUUGUCUUCUCAUGCUGCCUGGCCCAGAACAUGAAGCAGUGGUGUUAGCCAUCUUGGUGGGUGACUAAUGUAUCAGCAGCAUUUCUGAGCUCAGGAAAGCAGAGCCUAAGGAAAAAUACUUCAGGCAACUACAGUCCUUCUAAACUGCAGCAGAGAGAGAAGGAGAUGUGGGAACAGAUAUGGGGCCUCUGAGCUCUGUUUCAGGAGAUGGGAGGUAAGCCAUUUCUCCCCCUCUUUUUUUUUUUUUUUUUUUAUGAGGGAAAGAAGGGACAAGUAAGAAAAAGGACUUGCAUUCCAGUACUCAGCUGCAGUGGAGCUUGCAAAAAAAUGAUGCUGGGAUAGAUGAGUGUGCCCCUUCUGCUCAGUGAGCAAAACCCUUUCUUCUUUCUCUUAUCCCUCCCUGCCCCCCUCAUCUCCACUGUUUAUUGUGAUACAUAAAGUGGGUGGUGUUCUCCACCUUACCCCAGCCCUUCAGCUGGUGCUCUAUUUUGAGAAGGAAGGUGAUGAAAAGAGGAUACUAUGUUUUGGUUUGAAUUGCAGCCACUCUUACCAGCUCAAUUGUGGCUCUCCAACACAGGCGUGGUGCUUUCCUUCUCAGGUUUUUAUUGGAAGUAAAUAUACUACUCGUGUAGGUAACGGCUAUCCUAUGAUGUGUGAGCCAAGCACAAAAGGGAUUCUGGUAUAACCUCAGGGAGCUGCAGAUAACUUAAUUUUACUGUUUGUUGUCUUUGUAGCAGUGGCUGACUACCAAGCACUUGGGUAAAUUGUUUAUUUGAAGAGAAAUACAGGACAAGUCUGUAGAGCAUAGUAAUGCGUCUUUGCUCAGUUUUUUAUCAUAAGAGAAUCUUAAAAGUUAAGCUGUAGUAAUUACUGCUUGCAGGUAGCAGAGAUUUAUCGUUGCCCUUAUGCAGAGAUCUGCUGCCUGUGUUAAAAUGUUUCCUUCUGCAAAAGCAAUCUGAAAUCCCUGUUUUAUUGACAAAAGCAAUUUUCUUUAGCUGUAGAGGAAGAUGGAGAAGGGUAACUGCUGAUUUAUGUUCUGAACAAAUAUCCCAAUGUGAUGCAUACACGCAUGUGGAUUUCUUGGUUACUGUGCUAUUAAUAUUUACCUUAAUAUUUAUCUUAAAAACGUCUUUUUAAUGUAAGAAGCUUCCUCUGCAUAAAAAAAUAUUUCUUAUAUCUGAUCCCACGUCCCAAAAAGGCACCACAAAAAGCAUAGUUUUUUCUGUCUCUGUAUAGAAUUGAGACAGUAAUGAUCAUGAAUUUUACAGCUCAAAUGGUACCUUUCAUACUGUCACAAUAACCUCCUCAUACUGCUUGUAGAAGCAAGGCAUCCUAGGGCAAUUACGCAUAAAAUGAUAACGUUGCUAUGUUUCAAAUGUACAACAUGAAUAAGUAAGAUCAUUGCUGAUACUGUGACUAGCGUUCUGCAAAUAUGUCAAAUGCAAAUGGAGAUCUUUAGCAAACUUUGUUGUAUAAAUUGUAGCUGAUAAAGAAGAAGUUGAAAUGUUUUGAGACAGUGGCAUCUUUGAAGAAAAAUAAACAGCAUAAUCUUGUGUGUGUGGGAAUGGUGGAGAUGUGUGUCUGAAGUAGAUCUGUACUGUAUCAGUUCACAGAUGGUCCUAAUUCAGUCGAGACUUUAAAAAUCAGUUUUGAAAGUUGCAUCUUUAAGCUUCAGUACAUUUGUUCUUGUCUAACUUAAUUCACGCUGAAGGACCUGCAGGAGUGCGAUAAUCCUAAAUUUUCGUGGAGGGAAAACUCUUUGUGACUUGAAUUUUUUUUGAAGUUAUAAUGAGUACUCUUAUAUUUAAGAAUGAAAUUGAAAGCAUCAUCAGUUUCAUAGAAUCCUUGAGUAUCCUGAGUUGGAAGGGUCCACUCAAUAAUCAAACCAUUUUUCUGAGAACAUUGUCCAAACACUUCUUGAGAUGUGCUGAAAUGCCCAAAGAUACCAUCAUGCCAUUCAGAGAUAUGCACAAACUAGAAGGAAGUAUUUGCAAAAGGAAACACCUACCUUGCAAAAAAAAAAAAAAAGAAAAGAAAAAGGGAAGAGGAAAAAAAAAAAAAAAGAGAUUCUACCUCUACCAAAGCUCUUUUUUCAAUAUAUACUAGUAUGGAGAAUAGUUUAUUGGAAGAGGAGUCACAAAGCACGUGGGUCCUUUGUAGAGAGAAAUGGAGAAAUGUAUGCCUUGUGUCCGUAGGGAUAGGGUUCGAAAGUUAGGAGGAAAAUCCUCAAAUUAUACCGUCAAGUAACGGUGGGCUUGGAGUGCCAUAGAGUAUAUUUAGGCCCAUGGCUGGUGGCACACAUGAGGCUAGUUUUUAAAGGAUUUUAGUAUUGGUCAUCCAUAGCUUUGUGAUGUAUACGUCAGCAACUUAUUUCUAGUUUGAGCAAAACUGUGAUGCUAGGUAGACUUUUUGUGCGAUAGACUGUUGUCUUAUAUUCACACACUGAAGACUAUUGGACAAGGUCUUGAGAUGGUCUUUGCAUCUGCAGCUUACAUUGGUUUAGGAGAGAUCAGUAGGUAAUUCAGUAGCUUGGACUAUCAGCCUGUUGGAACUGAGCAGAUUUCCGUGAAUACCCUUUAAAAUCGUGUUUGAAGGCAGCUGCUAUUUAGAAGGCUUAAAAUACUUGUUAUAGAUAGCUUGUGACAUUCCCAUCCAUCUAGUCAGAGAUGAAGAUAAAUUAAGCAGUGUAAACAAAGCAGGAGCAUUCAAAAAGAAUUCAAUACUGUACUGAUUUCUCUUUUCUCUUCCAUUUACGUCUUCAGGCUGUAAGCCUCCUUAAAAAUGAGCAAAUCUUUAAAAAUCAAAUAAUUUUUAAACAGAAGAGAAAUAUUUUUGAUUUAAGAACUACUGCAAUAUACUGGGGGAGGGGGGUGAGAACAACAACUUUAUUCUGCCCUGAUUAUAGAGAAUUUCACAAUUACCCCAGCUAUAAACGCUCUAAAGAAUUAUUAUGACUCUUCACUUUGCACAAUAUUGGGCCAGUUUCUGCCAAUAUAAACUUAAAAAGAUUUUUAUCGAGUGAGGGCAAGUAGUGGAACCAAGCAUUAAGAUGAGAAGGUACAAAAGGGAGCAUCAAAGGCAAGAGAAGAGUUUUGAUGCUCUCAGAUGUCAGAAAUGCUGUCUCAGGGUAAGGCUUUAAAUGAAAUCUUGUUUGAAAAAGUGGACUAGAUUUAUCCAAGGGUCGCUUCAUGGCAUUUCUGAGUUGGUCAUAUUAGGCUGUCUUAUAGGAAUUGAUGAGAAAAUUGGACGGUAUCAAUUACUACUAGAGAGGAUCUUGAACAAUAUUUAAUUCACCAACUACCGUCAGAUGUUUAAAGAUCUAUGUAUUUACCUGUUUUGAUUUUCUGUAACGAUGCUCGCUGUUUCAGGCUAGUUCUUUAAGCAGUUGUUGAUGAUAGCUUCUUGAUUUUAGCCAUCAUCUUAUUUUGAAAUUUUGCUCAUCCGUAACUGAUUUCAGCUGAAACUGUGUUCUCUCCCCUGCCUUUCUGUUGUUGGCCUUAGAAUGCUUCACUGUGUGAUCAGAAUCGUGGGGGAUGAUCUUUGCAUCCUACUGAGUACUCUGAUGGGCUAUUUAAGAAUGACUUUGUGUUAAUUGUGUAUGGUAAACAAUAGUGGCUAUAUGUUUCUCUGUCGAAUAAUGUCAUUAAUGGUUUCAAAUUAGUUAUUGAGAAUGAUUUUUAAAUAUGAUUUGUGACCUCUCACGAGAGCAAGAACAAGGUGGAAAUGAACGUACACAGAUGAAAUAAUGGAGCAUUUUGAAUACCUAGAAGGGAACCUGAGAUCACAACUCUGCAGAGGAGUCCUCAGGAGGUUAACAGUACUGGGGCUGUAGUACUUAACUUCAAGUUAUAUCACAUUUUGUAAGUAUGACAGCAGAACACGAAGACUUCCUCUUUUCUAAAGUUUAGAUGUCUUGAUUUCCCAUCCCUUUGUUAAGUGCUUUGGUUUGGUUGGUAAGCAAGGAUUCUCCUGAAUUCCCUUCGCUUUGAAGUGGAGAAAACGCCUUCUAAAGAUCCCAAGAGAGACUGACUAGGUAUCUGAGAGAAAAGGAGGAGUUUUCAGCCAGCGUUUGGAGAUAGCAGCUAUACGCAGGAGAAUUCAGCAGGUGAGCAGAGAAGGAGUAGGCACUGAUGGAAUUGGUCCACUUCCUUGUUGUGUGAAUUGACAUAGUUAAUUAAAGGUCUGCCAUAUUUUUCCUUAGUGAUCCAGUAGACCUCAAGUUCAGCAAAUCUGUGGUUCUUUCUGAUUAUUUCACUCAGCUCUUGACUAGAGACCCUUGUCAUUCAACUCUGAUUGUCAUCUGCCCCCUUAAUGUAGCUGUGAGGCUUGCUUUUGUUUGCCUUGAUGGAUAUUGGUAUUAAUUCCUUGAAUAAAAACCUCUUUCAUAAAUGCAGAGACAAUAAUAACAAGAAAUUGUCACAGUAUAUCAGACUUACUUGUAUUUUCUAAAUGCAUUAAUAAAGAUGAAAAAGACCAAGUAUAAAUAUAAAACUGAGGUGGCUAUUCUUUUUCAAUUGGUAUGUAAAAUGGAAAAAAAAAAUAGGAAAUUUAUUAUUCAGCAAGUUUUAGUUGCUCUUUCUUGGGGGAAAUGGUCAACCAACCCCACAGGAGUCAAUUGUCAAAUAAAUUCAUAUGGGGGGUGGUGGGGACAACGGGGCAAGGAAAGAUUGCAGAGUUGAUAAUUUUUUUUAAGCUUUUUGCGCACAGCAUUCAGAAAUAGCCAAGCUUUCUUUGCCUGCUUUUACUGUAUAUUUCAUUUUCCCUUUCAUGAGGAAAAAAAAUAAAAGCACACUUCCAUGAAGCUACAUAGCUGGGUGGGAGCCUUCCCAGCAUACACCAUGAAGUACAUUUCAGUGUGCUUCAAGAGUCACACCUGCAUGGGCCAUGAUUCAGUAAUGACAAUCAUGAUACCUGUUCAAAGGUAUUCAUUUUAUCAAUAUCAAUCUAUUGAUACUGACAUCAACGCUAUUCAAAUUAUUCAUUUCAUUGUACUUCAAGGCAUCACCCUACCUAUCUUCCAUAAUAUAUUUGAAUUUUGUGUUAUAAUUAAACAGCAGUCAUGUAAAUGCAAUUAAGAGUGAGAAUGCAAAAUGCUUGAGGUUUAACUACUGUUUCUGUCCUUCAGUGCUGAUGUGCUCCCUAGCCUUUCUAUAAUUACCUCUAGUAGAUGCAUACUCUUGUUAUCACCUACUGGCCAGCAGAGAGAGCCUGUAGUGGGGACUUCAGCAUUGUUUUGUUUCAGUUGCUUGGUCUUCCCAGUGUCCUUUGGAGGUACCAUAUCAGCUCAGUAAAACGCAAAUGAUUCUUGCUCCUCACUUUUUUUUUUCCUCAUCUUCUAUCUUUACAGCAUAUUCUAAUUCUUUUCCACUGGCCUAGAAUCCCAACUUGAAUUUUCCAAGAGAAGGAACGUUUGUAUUGCUUCCCUUUUUAGAUGUCCAACGUGACAUACUUUAAAUGUUGGGUUUUUUUUUGGUAUCUUUGUUCUUUAAAUGAAGUGUAUGUAGCCUGUUCCUCCUUAGGCGCUUUAAACUCUAAUUGCCUUUGAAAAUGUAAGCUAAUGUGGAUUCUGCUUUCUGUUGCCUUUUCUACAUCUCCAAUUAUUUUUGGUGACAGUGUCUCCCAGUAUCACCUGUCCUUCCAUGUGAAGAUUUCCUGUUAUUGCUCGAGGUCUGAGAAUAAUUCUUUUGCUUGCUUUUUUCCCCCCAGCUUGCAUUUUUCCCCCCAACUUCCAGCACCACUAAUUGAAUUAUGAUUCCUCAAGAGAAUGUGUACGUGUUUUCUGUUUUAGUUCUAAGAGGGAUGAAUGAAGAUGCAAUUAGAAUGUCUAAGCUGUUUUUUCUCAAAAAAUGUAUCUGAAAUUCAUCUUAAGACAUUUUCCAACAUGUUUGAAAGUAUUAAACCUCUAUGAAAUGAAUCAUAAUUUAAAUGACAAAGGAGUAUCCUACACUUACCAAAACUUGAUUUCUAUCUUUUUAUUCUGUUUGAUUUGUGUUGUGGUUUAACCUGGCAAGCAUGUAAACACCACACAGCCUUUUGCUUACUUCUCUUUCCCAUCUCCCUGGGAGGAGGGGAAUUAAAUAACAGUAAUGAUAAUAAAAACAAUAUGUAUAUAUAAAAGGAGUGAUGCACAAAGCAUUGUGAUUAAUGUUAUGCAUGAUAUAUAGGUGUAUAUCACAUGAUUUUUAAAUAAAAGUCUAUUCCUGUAUAGCAUUUUCUUUUCUUAUACUUUUAAUUAUAAUAAUGGUCUUGUAUUUAGUAUCUGUCCAUAUUUGACCUGGAUGAACUCUUGUAACCUUCAUCUUGAGUUUGUCUCAAGUGCAAAUAUAUUCCUGCAUGUAUAAAAUCAGGAAUUGGGAAGAGUUCUUGGAUAGUCACAGCUAGGAGCACAAAUAGCAAGGCAAAGGAAUGAGCAGAAUGUCUUGUUCUGUAACUGUUUUGUGGGAGAAUUUGUGCAGCAUUUGUCCAAAGUGUCAGCCAUAUAUUGAAUAAUCUUUCAGCACCUAAGCAGUGAGGCAUGCAAAAGUGGGAGGAUGAAGUAGGGCUCUUUGCCUCUGUCUUCCUUGUCACUUCCAUUCCGAAACCCUGAAAGCUGGAGCCUAGAUUUUCUAUAGAGAGGAACGGCCACACUGAAGAACUGUGUGCUAUGAAACUUCCCUAGAGCCUCCUCUAGUUUUGUUUCCUUACCAAAGUUUCCAACAAACUUAGAGCUGUUGAGCUAUAGUCACUAAUAACCUGUCAUGUAAACCUGUUAUUUAUUCUCAUAUAUAUAUAUAUUAAAAAAUCCUAAAACCAACGGAACAUGACAACCUCUGUGUAAGAUCCUUAUUUAAUCUUUGGACUGCAAUAUUACAGCUGUUUCUUGAAGUCUCUUUUGUCUUCUAUUAAUAAUUUUUUUUUAUUACUGGUUUCUGAUUCUCAAAUUGACUUACGUUGAAUUGGGGAAACUUUUGAGUAUUGAUUUAAACAGGCUGAAAAAAAAAAGGGUAUUUCUCUGAGAAAUGAAAAGAAGAGGUAGUUGUUAAAUUAUGAAAUGGAGAAAUACAUCAAAAUAUCUCACCUCCCCUCCCCCAGGAAGUCUUUUAUCAACCUGGAAUUAUACGUAUGUUUUUUUUUUUCCUGUCCUCCUUUUAAUGAGGAAUGAAGUUUUAACUGAAAACGCUUAAAUGAUAAGCAGUGCUUCCAUACAGGGCUAAAUUCUUUAUUUAAAAAUGCUUCUUGUAUGAAAAGAGAUUUUGCUUGUUUGAGGGUGGGAGGUUAUUUCUAGAUUUGACAUUUUCCUGUGGAAAAAUGCAUUUGGACAAAAUGAACAUUGGCAGGCAGUCUGUUUGACAGCUCUGGGUACCACUCUUAAAUGACUAUGAAAGUGAUUUUAAAUAUAGGAAUAUCAAAUAGCUUGAAAGUCGGCUGAAGUUUCUUGUUUCUGGUAUGACUGCAUAAGGACUUAAUCCAGUGUAUAAUGCUCCUGAAAUGCAAUCCAUCUUCCCUCUCUGUGUGUCUGCACUGCUCACCAUCAGGACCUGUGCCUGAGUCUCCAUCAGGAACGCGGGACGCACUACAGCUAUGAGCAAACCACUUCAUCACAGUGGGGCCAGUUACACCCAAGUCAUGCUCGCUGUUCUCUGAAGCAUAAUUCUCUUGUAGCUGUUGUUUUUGCCCUGUUGUAGGAACAUACAGCCUUAGGAUUGGGUAGAUGCUUGAGGAGGGACGUGGCUUGGCUUUAGCAGUAAAUUAUGGCAAAAGGAGAACAGCAGCUAUGUAGCAGUGGCCGUGUGAUGUGCAGAUAAAGCAUAUGUUUUUCCACUGCAAUCCUGCUGUCUCUUACACGCUGCUCUCAUUAAGUGUAAUGAGGCUUAUCUAAAAGCCUUAAUAAUCUUUCGAUAUAUUAUUAAGCCCCAGUUAUUUGUGAACAAUGCCAGUGUAUAUGCUUGAGGUCAGCAUUGCAUGUGAGUGCUUUAAUUAGUGCAUCAUGUCCAGUUGUAUUCACUUACUGUUUUAAUUAGAAUGGUAAUUGAGAACUGAGUAUGUAUGUCUUGUCCUGCAUUUGUGAGCGCCUAAACCUAUUUGUUGUUGUAAUUACUCCUCGCCCUACAUCUCCUACCACCCCUUGUUUGUUUGCUAUUAAAUUAAGAAAAUGUAAAGAGAAGAAACAGUUACUGUGUAAAGGCUUAUUUUGCUUUGGUCAACCUAGAUUGCAGAGCAGUGUAAUUUAAUGAUCAUUGGAGAUGACUGUGAGAUGGAAUCUUGCCUGUAAUUCCUUGUCUGUGCCAUACUGGAUGUUUGGUUCUUAUUAGCCCUUGCAAAACCAGCAGAAAAGCAGGGAGAUGCACCUUUUGCAUCAUUCAAUUGCUUUGCAUGCUUUUUUUUGACACGUCAUCAUGUACUCUAAAUACCAGCUGUGAACUUAAUGGCAUUAACUGUAGUAUCUUGGAGAGUUUUGCCAAUGCCAGGUCAACCUGAACGUUCUGAGAAAGUGGAAUGGAAAAUAUAAAAGUAGUUUUUACUGAUGUCAGAUUUGCAAAUAGAUGCAACUCAACCCAUAGUUUGCGUUUAACAUUUGAACAUGUAAGAGCUUAUAAUAUUUUUUUGUUGCAGUGGAACAUCUGUUAAAUAAUCAGAGCUUGAAUUAAUAGGGAACUGAAAACAGUUAGCUGAAGGUUUCAAACUAAUUAGUAUAAUAAUAAUAAUAUUAAACUAGCCCUCCCAUAACCUAAAUUGCAGAGUUUUCAUGGUAAAAACACAUUAUUUUAAGGGACCUCAAAAUCUUCAUUUGGAGAAAUAGGAGUCAAGAGGAAAUGUUUUUGUAAAGUUCAAGAGAUUACAUUGAACUGACCAAGGAUUGACAAAUAAUUUAUAUCUAUCUGUCUAUGUUUUAAAUAGCUUUCCAUUUUGGGUUUUAGCUUUUUUGUCUCACAUCAGGUCAAAAAGUGGUGUUUUCACUCUUCGUAUCUGUACAGUGAAAUCUCCUUGGAAACAAAUACAGCAGUUUAAUUGAAGAAGGUUCAUUAUAACUGAAGUAAGUUGUUAAUGUUGUGGAUGAUAUUGAGAGACCAGCUUGCUUCCUUUGACUUCACUGCCUGCUAUGAGCACGUUUGUGCCUUCGUUCAGGUAAAAGGAUAUUUUGGAUGGGUUGUGGGGAUUUUGUUUGUUUGUUUGCUACUGGGGAAAUAUCAUGUGGCUGCUGAUCUGAAAGGGGACUGGUUUUUUCACAGAUUAGCGUGUAGAUGCUGGUUGAGAAUUCAGAAGCCCUGAGAGUUGAGGGUUUUUUGUGCGUGGGUGGAAGCAUGGGCAUGCUGACAGCCUCCAUUGCAGUUCUGAGAAUCUCGCUUUCUGAUAGGGCUCUCCUACCUGGAAACAAACUGUUCGUUGAGGAACUGAAUGAACAAAGUCAAAUUUCGUACAGAUUUCUCUUUAAGGCUGUCGUUGGAGUUUCUUAGAUCUAGCAGAAAUGGGACUUGUGGCUUUCCCACAGCUGGGCCUCUUGUAAUCUUGUGCAAAUUCUGUAGUGGGAAAUAAGUUGAGCUCACUCUUUGGUCUUUCCUUUGGCAAGGGCAGUGAUACUGUCUCAUUCAUCUGCUGGCUUGUUUUCAUAAAGUGAGUAGAAAUUCAGUAUCUUUGAGAGAAUUACAGCUUCAUUAAAAAUCGCGUAGGAGCAGAAAAUUGGUGGUGACAGAAGGAAAGAUUGCGUGUAUGUAUGUGCUAUAUGAUUAAUAAGCUUUGUUUUCUUAAGGGCUGGACUAGAAGUCUGUGUUAUGUUGGCAGUAAGAAGUAAUACAGCUCUUUCUUGAACUGCUGUAUUAAUGUCCUGUGUUUGAUUUGUCACCCUUGAGUCCUAGUGUAGUGUAGCUUAGUAAGAGAUGAGCUAAUCUUUUCAUAAUAGGGAUUGCAAGAUCCUAGUAGAAGUCUCCUUUUGGUUUUGGGCAUUUGAAAUACGUGGUUGUGUUUGUUUUACUUUGUUUGAUGAGUAAACCAUUCACAAAAUGUUUGGAAUGAAAGUUUCCAGCUACUCAGUGAAAUGUUAUGGCAGCUUUUGUGUUUUUUACAAAAAAGACUUUUAAGAAAUACUUGAACAUGGACAACUGUACUUCACGUGCUCCCUUUUUAUGCGUUGUCAUCAAAUUUCAUUCCUUCUCUGUUGUUCUCCCAGAUCUGCAGCUGUGUGUGGCAAGUUAGUGUUGUGCAAGUUUCUGGUCACUCUGCAAGCUCUGUUAUGAUGAGUUAGUUCACGUGGGCCACUGAACUGAUGGCCCUGUUGGGUUAUCCAACUUUGAAAUAUCUGCUGAGUCUCCACUGAGAACUUCUGACUAAUGUAGUUAGCUUGUUGGGAAAAACAAAACAAAACACAACAGUUUUGGCACCUUUAUUGAGAGUGCUGUGUUUAUUAAUAGUCUUCCCCUUGAGCUUUUUUGUUCCUGUAUUUUUCAUGGAUGGAUGCCUUGGGCACAUCUGUGCAGCAGUUACUCCUGCAUUAGCUGUCUUGCUUUACAAAGUCAUUACUACUUUAGUUAGCAUCUGAACAGGAAACACAGUGUUGGAAAGGGAGGAUGAUCAGGAUACUUUCAUAAGCUUUUCUACAAAGUUUGAUCAAUGUAAAACACCAUCCAUCGUUUGGGAUGUCACCUGCCAGGAACUUGGAGGCACCUUCCCAUCUCUUCAGCAAGGAUCUCUUCCUUUUUUAGUAGAGGUAGCUAAUCCUUCAUUAGUCUUUUAUUAGCCUUCUCUAUUAGCCUUCCAUAAGUAGAAGUGGCUCAAGACCAAGGCUGCUGCACCUGGCAGUGUUUCUGGCUUUGGUGACACCUCUCCUGCUAGCAGGCAGCCCACCCUAAGCAUGGACCAAUGCUGGCCCAUGGAGCAUCCUCUCAGCUGGAGCUUUUCCUCAGAGACAGAGCUGCUCGCUGUCCAGAGCUGUCAAUCUCCAUUCCUCAUGCACACGCAAGUUCAAAACAACCUUUAAAGCAGUAGAAAAUGAUAUUAAUUCCCUAGAGCACCUCCACGCACGUGCAUGCAUACACAGAGCUUUGCAUUUCUCACUGCCCUAGACCUAGACCCCCCCCAUAUGUGUUUACUGCCUGUCUCACUGACACCUCCUGUGUGAGUCAGCAGCCUGGGAGGGUAGGAAAUGGCAACCAUUUUUCAUGCUCCUGUUCAGAAAAGAAGCCUGCUUCUGUGACACUGAGAAUAAAGCUGCUUUCCCCAGCCCUUUCUAAAACAUACACGUUGCUCUCAGUGUGAUAUUUGCUUCUUAUUGGCACCAUUCAGUGUUUUGUUCCAGUGCCCUUCCAAUUAUUACUGUAUAUUAAUUUUGAUUAGACAGGAGGCUGCUUUGUGAGUCUUGACUUCCUGCCAGUACAAUCAAGUGUGAGCCAUGGGAAUGAAAAGCAAAUGUUACUUUCAAAACCUUGUGAAGAAUAUAUUACUUAUAAUUCAUAGUCAAUAUAUAUAAUUUUAAAAAGAAUAAAUAUGUCUUUGGUAGACCAGGAAUUGAGAUAAUGAAUCUACCCUACCCUAAAAGAGGCAAUAAAAACAGAUAUAAUAUCUGUGUAAACCAUCUUGUUUGUAUAUUUUCACCAUUCAACCUUUGUAUUCUUUUAAUUUUUAAUCGACUGUUCCUUUAAUAGAUCAACAGCUGCUGUAUGAAUUAGAAGAGUAGAACCAAUGUCAGAUAGAACAAAUAGGAAUGGUUUAAGUUCCUAUUCCAUGGCUAACCAGGCAUUUGAGGAGGAAUUUUUUCAAAGGAGUCCUGGAGCCUGUGCUGCUUAGAAUGAGUGACCCUCUGGUGUCAUCUACCAUUUUGUGAACAACGCACGUUUAACUGUCAGAGCUCACAAAAAAAAAAGGGAAUUACAGUACUUGCACACUGUUUUGGGGGAUGGAGUUUGCAUUUUUCUUCUUCUUUAUUUCUGUUGAAUUUUCCUUUUUCUUCUUUGCCUGUUUUUCUGACUGAAGCGCUUGUCCUUCCUCAUCCCCUUGUUCACCUCGCCCUCCUCUUUGGCUGGUGACUAUGGACUUGUCAUCCUACAUUACUUACUGUUGAGAGGAUAACUCCUGUGUCCCUGCUGCAUGGAGUUCAGUCAGCAGCAGGUGCUGGAAGAGCCAAGCAUGUCAAUAUUUCGUGCAUUUAAAAUCAAACACACUGAGUCACAUAUGGUUGCUCCAAGGAGUGCUGUAUGUAAGUCUGCUUUCUUUAAGUAGGUGUGCUAAACUGCUCUUACUAAUGUACCACCAGACUGACUAGAUUAAUG